Molecule: long non-coding RNA, 288 nt
Organism: Oncorhynchus tshawytscha (Chinook salmon)
Lineage: Eukaryota; Metazoa; Chordata; Actinopteri; Salmoniformes; Salmonidae
Source: Ensembl
CAAAAAUGGAAAAUCCAACACAUCUCACAGCGCCUUCCAGCCUAUUGAAGAUCUAAGUGAAGCAUUGAUCGGAAAGUGUUUACCACCUGACUUGCCCAGCUCUGCUCACAUGUGAGUCCCAUCAUGUAUCCAGACCUGGCCCUCCUCAAACCUGCUCCCUGGGCCCCUGCAGCUGAUGGCUCUGUGUUCCUCCCUGAUCCCUCACAUCUGUUUCAAUUAGCUUCCUUACUAUAUAGGUGAGGCCUUUCACAGCUUAAUCAUAAAAAAAUAAAAGUUGUGUAUUUUGUG